Long non-coding RNA from Homarus americanus (American lobster), 213 nucleotides. RefSeq lists it as uncharacterized. NCBI's taxonomy places the organism in Eukaryota, Metazoa, Arthropoda, Malacostraca, Decapoda, Nephropidae. The record is from RefSeq and is a predicted model, not a curated record. The transcript is spliced from 2 exons.
CUGAACACAUAAACUUACAAGUGUUCAGAUGGGCACAUGUGGCCGGUGUGUGUGUGCGGCUCGCGGUAAGGAUCGAAGGGCCACUGGUGUCAGACUCUACCGUCAAUGAAAGCUGAUGUGUCACGAGUGAAUAUUUUACAACACAUGAUUAUUACGAGUGAUAAAAUAACUAAAAUCUAACAGAAGAAAUAUAUACUGAACAAAAAAGAAUAA